GAUGGUGUAGCUCAGUGGUAGAGCGGUUGACUGUUAAUCAACGGAUCGGUGGUUCAAAUCCGCCCACCUCGCCA
RNAcentral lists this transfer RNA (74 nucleotides) under Hafnia alvei. Its description in RNAcentral is "tRNA-Asn". It matches the Rfam family "tRNA". From Rfam's summary of the family: Transfer RNA (tRNA) molecules are approximately 80 nucleotides in length. Their secondary structure includes four short double-helical elements and three loops (D, anti-codon, and T loops). The record is from RNAcentral. RNAcentral also lists the same sequence under 3 other names. Lineage: Bacteria; Pseudomonadati; Pseudomonadota; Gammaproteobacteria; Enterobacterales; Hafniaceae.